RNAcentral lists this ribosomal RNA (506 nucleotides) under uncultured bacterium. Its description in RNAcentral is "partial 16S ribosomal RNA". It matches the Rfam family "Bacterial small subunit ribosomal RNA", at positions 28 to 523 of the family's 1533-position model. The record is from RNAcentral.
GAUGAACGCUAGCUACAGGCUUAACACAUGCAAGUCGAGGGGUAACGAGAGGGAAGCUUGCUUUCCUUGUCGACGACCGGCGCACGGGUGAGUAACGCGUAUCCAACCUGCCCCCAACUAGGGAAUAACCUUGCGAAAGUAAGACUAAUACCCUAUAAUUUCCUCAGAUGUCAUCUGACGAGGAAUAAAGAUUUAUCGGUUGUGGAUGGGGAUGCGUCUGAUUAGCUUGUUGGCGGGGUAACGGCCCACCAAGGCAACGAUCAGUAGGGGUUCUGAGAGGAAGGUCCCCCACAUUGGAACUGAGACACGGUCCAAACUCCUACGGGAGGCAGCAGUGAGGAAUAUUGGUCAAUGGGCGGAAGCUUGAACCAGCCAAGUAGCGUGCAGGAUGACGGCCCUAUGGGUUGUAAACUGCUUUUAUGCAGGAAUAAAGUUAGCCACGUGUGGUUAUUUGUAGGUACUGUAUGAAUAAGGACCGGCUGAUUCCGUGCCAGCCGCCGCAGUAA